UCGGGUUGUAAAGCACUUUUGUCCGGAAAGAAAACUUCUGCCCUUAAUACGGUGGGAGGAUGACGGUACCGGAAGAAUAAGCACCGGCAACUACGUGCCAGCAGCCGCGGUAAUACGUAGGGUGCGAGCGUUAAUCGGAAUUACUGGGCGUAAAGCGUGCGCAGGCGGUUCGUUAAGACAGAUGUGAAAUCCCCGGGCUUAACCUGGGAACUGCAUUUGUGACUGGCGAGCUAGAGUAUGGCAGAGGGGGGUAGAAUUCCACGUGUAGCAGUGAAAUGCGUAGAGAUGUGGAGGAAUACCGAUGGCGAAGGCAGCCCCCUGGGCCAAUACUGACGCUCAUGCACGAAAGCGUGGGGAGCAAACAGGAUUAGAUACCCUGGUAGUCCACGCCCUAAACGAUGUCAACUAGUUGUUGGGUCUUCAUUGACUUAGUAACGUAGCUAACGCGUGAAGUUGACCGCCUGGGGAGUACGGUCGCAAGAUUAAAACUCAAAGGAAUUGACGGGGACCCGCACAAGCGGUGGAUGAUGUGGAUUAAUUCGAUGCAACGCGAAAAACCUUACCUACCCUUGACAUGGUCGGAACCUGGCUG
Molecule: ribosomal RNA, 592 nt
Filed under: uncultured Burkholderia sp.
Lineage: Bacteria; Pseudomonadati; Pseudomonadota; Betaproteobacteria; Burkholderiales; Burkholderiaceae
Description: bacterial SSU rRNA
Rfam family: Bacterial small subunit ribosomal RNA
Source: RNAcentral